Molecule: long non-coding RNA, 263 nt
Organism: Equus quagga
Lineage: Eukaryota; Metazoa; Chordata; Mammalia; Perissodactyla; Equidae
Exons: 3
Source: RefSeq, a predicted model, not a curated record
CCGAGUUGUCAGGACUCAGCCGCUCCAGGCUUGGGGCCGUGUCUGCCCCGACAUGGUUGGAAGACCAGACUGAGCCCCGAGAGCUCCAGGCAGAAGGAUUUCAACAGUUAAACUGCACACUUUGAGAGGAUUGAGGCUCCAUGCGCAGAGGGAGAAAACACUCUUACAGACACAUCUCGGCACCACAGACGUUGCAGGACGGCACUUUUCCCCAGGCUCCUCAGCUGUGAAGCAUAAGGGUGUUGCCUUUAAAUGGAUCAACA